UACGGGAGGGAGCUAGCGUUGUUCGGAAUUACUGGGCGUAAAGCGCGCGUAGGCGGUUUUUAAGUCAGAGGUGAAAGCCCAGUGCUCAACACUGGAACUGCCUUUGAAACUGGAAAACUUGAAUCUUGGAGAGGUCAGUGGAAUUCCGAGUGUAGAGGUGAAAUUCGUAGAUAUUCGGAAGAACACCAGUGGCGAAGGCGGACUGACUGGACAAGUAUUGAC
Molecule: ribosomal RNA, 222 nt
Filed under: uncultured bacterium
Lineage: Bacteria
Description: partial 16S ribosomal RNA
Rfam family: Bacterial small subunit ribosomal RNA
Source: RNAcentral